This 252-nucleotide ribosomal RNA is filed under the name uncultured bacterium. RNAcentral's name for it is "partial 16S ribosomal RNA". It matches the Rfam family "Bacterial small subunit ribosomal RNA", at positions 524 to 776 of the family's 1533-position model. The record is from RNAcentral.
UACGAAGGGGGCUAGCGUUGCUCGGAAUCACUGGGCGUAAAGGGUGCGUAGGCGGGUCUUUAAGUCAGGGGUGAAAUCCUGGAGCUCAACUCCAGAACUGCCUUUGAUACUGAAGAUCUUGAGUUCGGAGAGGUGAGUGGAACUGCGAGUGUAGAGGUGAAAUUCGUAGAUAUUAGGAAGAACACCAGUGGCGAAGGCGGCUCACUGGCCCGGUUCUGACGCUGAGGCGCGAAAGCGUGGGGAGCAAACGGG